RNAcentral lists this ribosomal RNA (250 nucleotides) under uncultured bacterium. RNAcentral's name for it is "partial 16S ribosomal RNA". It matches the Rfam family "Bacterial small subunit ribosomal RNA", at positions 524 to 773 of the family's 1533-position model. The record is from RNAcentral.
UACGGAGGGGGCUAGCGUUGUUCGGAAUCACUGGGCGUAAAGCGCGCGUAGGUGGUCUUAUAAGUUGGAAGUGAAAUCCCAGGGCUUAACCCUGGAAUUGCUUUCAAAACUGUAGGACUCGAGAGUGGUAGAGGGAAGUGGAAUUCUUAGUGUAGCGGUGAAAUGCGUAGAUAUUAAGAGGAACACCGGAGGCGAAGGCGGCUUCCUGGGCCAUUUCUGACACUGAGGCGCGAAAGCGUGGGGAGCAAAC